This 87-nucleotide transfer RNA is filed under the name Candidatus Omnitrophota bacterium. Its description in RNAcentral is "tRNA-Ser". It matches the Rfam family "tRNA". From Rfam's summary of the family: Transfer RNA (tRNA) molecules are approximately 80 nucleotides in length. Their secondary structure includes four short double-helical elements and three loops (D, anti-codon, and T loops). Lineage: Bacteria; Pseudomonadati; Candidatus Omnitrophota. The record is from RNAcentral.
GGAGAGGUGGCAGAGUGGCCGAAUGCAAGUGCCUGCUAAGCACUUGACCGGGUAACUGGUCCCAGGGUUCGAAUCCCUGCCUCUCCG